This 497-nucleotide ribosomal RNA is filed under the name uncultured bacterium. Its description in RNAcentral is "partial 16S ribosomal RNA". It matches the Rfam family "Bacterial small subunit ribosomal RNA", at positions 28 to 507 of the family's 1533-position model. The record is from RNAcentral.
GACGAACGCUGGCGGCGUGCCUAAUACAUGCAAGUAGAACGCUGAAGAGAGGAGCUUACUCUUCUUGGAUGAGUUGCGAACGGGUGAGUAACGCGUAGGUAACCUGCCUUGUAGCGGGGGAUAACUAUUGGAAACGAUAGCUAAUACCGCAUAACAAUGGAUGACACAUGUCAUUUAUUUGAAAGGGGCAAUUGCUCCACUACAAGAUGGACCUGCGUUGUAUUAGCUAGUAGGUGAGGUAAUGGCUCACCUAGGCGACGAUACAUAGCCGACCUGAGAGGGUGAUCGGCCACACUGGGACGGAGACACGGCCCAGACUCCUACGGGAGGCAGCAGUAGGGAAUCUUCGGCAAUGGGGGCAACCCUGACCGAGCAACGCCGCGUGAGUGAAGAAGGUUGUCGGAUCGUAAAGCUCUGUUGUAAGUCAAGAACGGGUGUGAGAGUGGAAAGUUCACACUGUGACGGUAGCUCACCAGAAAGGGACGGCUAACUACGUG